UACGUAGGGUGCGAGCGUUGUCCGGAAUUAUUGGGCGUAAAGAGCUCGUAGGCGUGUGUCACGUCGGCCGUGAAAACCUGGGGCUCAACUCUGGGCGUGCGGUCGAUACGGGCAUCACUAGAGUUCGGCAGGGGAGACUGGAAUUCCUGGUGUAGCGGUGAAAUGCGCAGAUAUCAGGAGGAACACCGGUGGCGAGGCGGGUCUCUGGGCCGAUACUGACGCUGAGGAGCGAAAGCAUGGGUAGCGAACAGGAUUAGAUACCCGUGUAGUCC
This 272-nucleotide ribosomal RNA is filed under the name uncultured bacterium. RNAcentral's name for it is "partial 16S ribosomal RNA". It matches the Rfam family "Bacterial small subunit ribosomal RNA", at positions 524 to 796 of the family's 1533-position model. The record is from RNAcentral.